This 67-nucleotide transfer RNA is filed under the name Dalcantha dilatata. RNAcentral's name for it is "tRNA-Leu". Lineage: Eukaryota; Metazoa; Arthropoda; Insecta; Hemiptera; Tessaratomidae. The record is from RNAcentral.
ACUAUUUUGGCAGAAUUUAGUGCGAUAAAUUUAGAAUUUAUUUAUAUAGAUAAAUCUAUAAAUAGUA